AACGCGAAGAACCUUACCCAGACUUGACAUGCAGUGGACAGAGCUAGAGAUAGCUUCUCCCUUCGGGGCCGCUGCACAGGUGCUGCAUGGCUGUCGUCAGCUCGUGCCGUGAGGUGUUGGGUUAAGUCCCGCAACGAGCGCAACCCUUAUCACUAGUUGCCAUCAUUUAAGGUGGGGACUCUAGUGAGACUGCCUAGGUUAACUAGGAGGAAGGCGAGGAUGACGUCAAGUCCGCAUGGCCUUUAUGUCCAGGGCUACACACGUGCUACAAUGGUCGGUACAGAGGGCUGCAAAACCGUAAGGUCAAGCAAAUCCCAGAAAGCCGAUCUCAGUUCAGAUUGUGGUCUGCAACUCGACCACAUGAAGUCGGAAUUGCUAGUAAUGGCAGGUCAGCAACACUGCCGUGAAUACCGUUCCCGGGCCUUGUACACACCGAGUAUA
RNAcentral lists this ribosomal RNA (441 nucleotides) under uncultured bacterium. Its description in RNAcentral is "bacterial SSU rRNA". It matches the Rfam family "Bacterial small subunit ribosomal RNA", at positions 958 to 1398 of the family's 1533-position model. The record is from RNAcentral.